CCGCGUGAGUGAUGAAGGUUUUCGGAUCGUAAAGCUCUGUUGUUAGGGAAGAACAAGUGCGAGAGUAACUGCUCGCACCUUGACGGUACCUAACCAGAAAGCCACGGCUAACUACGUGCCAGCAGCCGCGGUAAUACGUAGGUGGCAAGCGUUGUCCGGAAUUAUUGGGCGUAAAGGGCUCGCAGGCGGUUUCUUAAGUCUGAUGUGAAAGCCCCCGGCUCAACCGGGGAGGGUCAUUGGAAACUGGGAAACUUGAGUGCAGAAGAGGAGAGUGGAAUUCCACGUGUAGCGGUGAAAUGCGUAGAGAUGUGGAGGAACACCAGUGGCGAAGGCGACUCUCUGGUCUGUAACUGACGCUGAGGAGCGAAAGCGUGGGGAGCGAACAGGAUUAGAUACCCUGGUAGUCCACGCCGUAAACGAUGAGUGCUAAGUGUUAGGGGGUUUCCGCCCCUUAGUGCUGCAGCUAACGCAUUAAGCACUCCGCCUGGGGAGUACGGUCGCAAGACUGAAACUCAAAGGAAUUGACGGGGGCCCGCACAAGCGGUGGAGCAUGUGGUUUAAUUCGAAGCAACGCGAAGAACCUUACCAGGUCUUGACAUCCUCUGACAACCCUAGAGAUA
RNAcentral lists this ribosomal RNA (620 nucleotides) under Bacillus sp. (in: firmicutes). Its description in RNAcentral is "bacterial SSU rRNA". It matches the Rfam family "Bacterial small subunit ribosomal RNA", at positions 397 to 1008 of the family's 1533-position model. The record is from RNAcentral. Lineage: Bacteria; Bacillati; Bacillota; Bacilli; Caryophanales; Bacillaceae.